GACGAACGCUGGCGGCGUGCUUAACACAUGCAAGUCGAACGGAGAGGCCUGCUUUCCCUUGUGGAUUGCGGGUACUCGAGUGGCGAACGGGUGAGUAACACGUGAGUGAUCUGCCCCCAACUUGGGUAUAAGCCUGGGAAACUGGGUCUAAUUCCCGAUAGGACUGCAGGGUGGUGCCUGUGGUGGAAAACGAUUUUCUGGUGGUUGGGGAUGAGCUCGCGGCCUAUCAGCUUGUUGGUGGGGUAAUGGCCUACCAAGGCGGCGACGGGUAGCCGGCCUGAGAGGGUGGACGGCCACAUUGGGACUGAGAUACGGCCCAGACUCCUACGGGAGGCAGCAGUGGGGAAUAUUGCACAAUGGGCGGAAGCCUGAUGCAGCGACGCCGCGUGGGGGAUGACGGCCUUCGGGUUGUAAACUCCUUUCGACCGCGAGGAAGCCACCUGGUUGGAAGGGUGGUGACGGUAGUGGUAGAAGAAGCACCGGCUAACUACGUG
RNAcentral lists this ribosomal RNA (494 nucleotides) under uncultured bacterium. Its description in RNAcentral is "partial 16S ribosomal RNA". It matches the Rfam family "Bacterial small subunit ribosomal RNA", at positions 28 to 507 of the family's 1533-position model. The record is from RNAcentral.